GUGCGGAGCCCCUCGGUCGGCUCCUCCUGCUGCCCGCAGAGCGGCUCAGGCUACGGCCGGACGGAGAGAGGAGGGGACAGAAAAAAUCUGUAUCAAAAAAGGUCCAGGAUGAGGGAGCCAAUGAGGGCAAGAUGGAAACACAUAACAGGACACAGAGAAUGAGAAUCCCAGGAGACCCUUAUGUCCCAGAGCCACCUAACCUGCAAUAGUCGG
Long non-coding RNA from Sarcophilus harrisii (Tasmanian devil), 213 nucleotides. RefSeq lists it as uncharacterized. NCBI's taxonomy places the organism in Eukaryota, Metazoa, Chordata, Mammalia, Dasyuromorphia, Dasyuridae. The transcript has 3 exons. The record is from RefSeq and is a predicted model, not a curated record.